UCUAAUUCCUCACCUUGAACCUUCAAUUCUUUUGUAGUUAAUACCUUUUCUUGUUGUGCUCCUGCUGCCUAUGUCUGUUUUGUAGUGUUUGGUGGCUGUUGGUUUAAUCAUGUUAAAGGAUGGAUGACAAAUAAAGAAAAAAUACAACAACAUCCUGAUCCUUCACUUAUGAAGAAAUGAUCAAGGACCUCAGAUCUGUCGUUGUGAAAAUCUGUGAGUUUGUGG
Long non-coding RNA from Puntigrus tetrazona (Sumatra barb), 225 nucleotides. RefSeq lists it as uncharacterized. The record is from RefSeq and is a predicted model, not a curated record. NCBI's taxonomy places the organism in Eukaryota, Metazoa, Chordata, Actinopteri, Cypriniformes, Cyprinidae. The transcript has 2 exons.